GCCUAAUCACAAAACCACUAUCUUAAUCCCACACCAACACCGAAUACUUCUAUAACACUAUAGAAAAUUUUAUGUUAAAACUAGUAACAAGAAGUAAACCUUCUCUUAAAUGUAAAUGUAAAUCAGAAAGGACAGACCACUGAUAUUUAACACCUUUGAACCUAAAGUAGUAACUAAUCAAGAAAACUCUGCUAUAAACAACGUUAACCUAACACAAGAACAUUCCAAGAAAGAUUUAAAGAAUAAGAAGGAACUCGGCAAAUUUUAACCUCGCCUGUUUACCAAAAACAUCGCCUCUUGCCCCCCAUAAGAGGUCCAGCCUGCCCAGUGACUCUGUUUAACGGCCGCGGUAUCCUAACCGUGCGAAGGUAGCGUAAUCACUUGUUCUUUAAAUAAGGACUAGUAUGAAUGGCAUCACGAGGGUUACACUGUCUCCUUUUUCCAAUCAGUGAAACUAAUCUUCCCGUGAAGAAGCGGGAAUUAACCUAUAAGACGAGAAGACCCUAUGGAGCUUUAAACAACACAGCAUUUACCUUACAAAUUUCUAAAACAAACUUUACUAGGUAGAAUGACUAUAAGUUUUUGGUUGGGGUGACCGCGGAGCAUAAUCUAACCUCCUUGUUGAAAAAAUAUUAUUUUAAGCCCAGAACUACCUAUCUAAGCAUCAACAUUUUGACAUCCAUUGACCCAAUUAUAUUGAACAACGAACCAAGUUACCCUAGGGAUAACAGCGCAAUCCACUUUAAGAGCCCCUAUCGACAAGUGGGUUUACGACCUCGAUGUUGGAUCAGGGUUUCCAAGUGGUGCAGCCGCUACUA
This 818-nucleotide ribosomal RNA is filed under the name Ansonia sp. 2 Sanguila et al., 2011. RNAcentral describes it as "partial 16S ribosomal RNA". It matches the Rfam family "Bacterial large subunit ribosomal RNA", at positions 1501 to 2567 of the family's 2925-position model. The record is from RNAcentral. Lineage: Eukaryota; Metazoa; Chordata; Amphibia; Anura; Bufonidae.